UUGGUUGAAGAUGGGCAUGCGUUCGAUUAGCUAGUUGGUGCGGGUAACGGCCUACCAAGGCGACGAUCGAUAGGGGAGCUGAGAGGUUGAUCCCCCACACGGGCACUGAGAUACGGGCCCGACUCCUACGGGAGGCAGCAGUAGGGAAUAUUGGGCAAUGGAUGCAAGUCUGACCCAGCCAUGCCGCGUGCCGGAUGAAGGCCCUCAGGGUUGUAAACGGCUUUUAUUCGGGAAGAAGAGCGAGGAUGCGUCCUUGUGUGACGGUACCGAAUGAAUAAGCACCGGCUAACUCCGUGCCAG
RNAcentral lists this ribosomal RNA (300 nucleotides) under Foraminifera environmental sample. Its description in RNAcentral is "partial Bacterial small subunit ribosomal RNA". It matches the Rfam family "Bacterial small subunit ribosomal RNA", at positions 215 to 511 of the family's 1533-position model. Lineage: Eukaryota; Foraminifera. The record is from RNAcentral.